This 459-nucleotide ribosomal RNA is filed under the name uncultured bacterium. RNAcentral describes it as "bacterial SSU rRNA". It matches the Rfam family "Bacterial small subunit ribosomal RNA", at positions 340 to 789 of the family's 1533-position model. The record is from RNAcentral.
UACGGAAGGCAGCAGUGGGGAAUAUUGCACAAUGGGCGAAAGCCUGAUGCAGCUAUGCCGCGUGUAUGAAGAAGGCCUUAGGGUUGUAAAGUACUUUCAUCGGGGAGGAAAAACAAAACUAAUAAUUUUAUUUCUUGACGUUACCCGAAAAAGAAGCACCGGCUAACUCCGUGCCAGCAGCCGCGGUAAUACGGAGGGUGCUAGCGUUAAUCAGAAUUACUGGGCGUAAAGAGCACGUAGGUGGUUUUUUUAAGUCAGAUGUGAAAUCCCUGGGCUUAACCUAGGAACUGCAUUUUGAAACUGAAAUACUAGAGUAUCGUAGAGGGAGGUAGAAUUCUAGGUGUAGCGGUGAAAUGCGUAGAUAUCUGGAGGAAUACCUGUGGCGAAAGCGGCCUCCUAAACGAAUACUGACACUGAGGUGCGAAAGCGUGGGGAGCAAACGAGGGAUUAGAUACCCGU